Molecule: long non-coding RNA, 299 nt
Filed under: Zostera marina
Lineage: Eukaryota; Viridiplantae; Streptophyta; Magnoliopsida; Alismatales; Zosteraceae
Description: long non-coding RNA (ZMAR_LNC004831)
Source: RNAcentral
UCCGAUUCCGCGAGCAGAGGUUCCGCGAGGGAGCGAUGGGUUCCGCGAGGAUGGGUUCCGAUUGCGCGAGGAUGGAGCAUGGGUUCAUUCCAGAACCGAUUCCGCGAGCAGAGGAUGGAGCAUGGGUUCCGCGAGGGAGCGAUGGGUUCCGAUUCCGCGAGCAGAGGUUCCGCGAGGGAGCGAGGAUGGAGCAUGGGUUCCGAUUGCGACACUACCCGUCCUCGAGCAGAGGUUCCGAUUGCGCGAGGAUGGGUUCCGAUUGCGCGAGGAUGGAGCAUGGGUUCAUUCCAGAACCGAUU